UGUGUGUGGACGGUAUGGAAGUGAGAAUGCCGGAAUGAGUAGCGAGAAUUGCGUGAGAAUCGUAAUGGCCGAAAAUCUAAGGUUUCCAGGGGUAGGUUCGUCCGCCCUGGGUAAGCCGGGAGCUAAGGCGAGGCCGAAAGGCGUAGUCGAUGCACAUACGGUAGAGAUUCCGUAGCCGCCGAAGAUUUAAAUAUACUGACACAUGUGAGGAGCGCAAGCCGGGCGUUGGUAGACCCGGUCGAAAGGGACUGAAAUAUAGUAGGGAAGUGCGUAAGUCAUGUGGCGAGAAAAGGUAUAUGUAUAUUGAAGGCGCCCGUACCGCAAACCGACACAGGUAGAUGAGGAGAGAAUCCUAAGGCCAACGGGAGAAGGGUUGUUAAGGAACUCGGCAUAUUAACCCCGUAACUUCGGGAUAAGGGGAGCCUCCGAAAGGAGGUCGCAGUGAAAAGGCCCAGGCGACUGUUUAACAAAAACAUAGGUCUCUGCAAAACCGAAAGGUGAGGUAUAGGGGCUGACGCCUGCCCGGUGCCGGAAGGUCAAGGGGAACACUCAGAGCAAUCGAAGGUGUGAACUUAAGCCCCGGUAAACGGCGGCCGUAACUAUAACGGUCCUAAGGUAGCGAAAUUCCUUGUCAGGUAAGGUCUGACCCGCACGAAUGGCGUAACGAUCUGGGCACUGUCUCAACAGCCCGCCCGGCGAAAUUGUAGUACCGGUGAAGAUGCCGGUUACCCGCGACUAGACGGAAAGACCCCAUGGAGCUUUACUGUAGCCUGAUAUUGAGAUUCGGUUCAUUAUGUACAGGAUAGGUGGGAGACUGUGAGACAAUGGCGUCAGCUGUUGUGGAGUCGUUGUUGGGAUACCACUCUUGAUGAAUCGGAUUUCUAACCUGCGCCCGUGAUCCGGGCGGGGGACACUGUCAGGUGGGCAGUUUGACUGGGGCGGUCGCCUCCAAAAGAGUAACGGAGGCGUUCAAAGCUCGGCUCAGCGCGGACGGAAAUCGCGCAAUGAGUAUAAACGUAGAAGCCGGGUUGACUGCGAGACCAACAAGUCGAGCAGGUACGAAAGUAGGAGUUAGUGAUCAGGUGGUAGUGAGUGGAAAUGCCAUCGCUUAACGGAUAAAAGCUACCCUGGGGAUAACAGGCUGAUCUCCCCCAAGAGUUCACAUCGACGGGGAGGUUUGGCACCUCGAUGUCGGCUCAUCACAUCCUGGGGCUUGGAAGGUCCCAAGGGUUCGGCUGUCCGCCGAUUAAAGUGGUACGCGAGCUGGGUUCAGAACGUCGUGAGACAGUUCGGUCCCUAUCUGUCGUGGGCGAAGGAGAUUUAAGAGGAGCUGACCUUAGUACGAGAGGACCGGGUCGGACGCACCACCGGUGCAUCAGCUGUUCUGCCAAGGGCAUAGCUGAGUAGCCGCGUGCGGGAGUGAUAAACGCUGAAAGCAUCUAAGCGUGAAACAUGCCUCAAGAUAAGAUCUCCCAUCCGAGAGGAGUAAGGACACUUGCAGACUACGAGUUUGAUAGGUCGGAGGUGUAAGCACAGUAAUGUGUUCAGCUGACCGAUACUAAAUGUCCGAGGGCUUGAAU
RNAcentral lists this ribosomal RNA (1580 nucleotides) under metagenome. RNAcentral describes it as "bacterial LSU rRNA". It matches the Rfam family "Bacterial large subunit ribosomal RNA", at positions 1268 to 2925 of the family's 2925-position model. The record is from RNAcentral.